RNAcentral lists this ribosomal RNA (253 nucleotides) under uncultured bacterium. Its description in RNAcentral is "partial 16S ribosomal RNA". It matches the Rfam family "Bacterial small subunit ribosomal RNA", at positions 524 to 776 of the family's 1533-position model. The record is from RNAcentral.
UACGAAGGGGGCUAGCGUUGUUCGGAAUUACUGGGCGUAAAGCGUGCGCAGGCGGUCCUUCAAGUCAGGGGUGAAAGCCCAGAGCUCAACUCUGGAAUUGCCUUUGAAACUGCAGGACUUGAGUAUGAGAGAGGUGAGUGGAAUUCCCAGUGUAGAGGUGAAAUUCGUAGAUAUUGGGAAGAACACCGGUGGCGAAGGCGGCUCACUGGCUCAUAACUGACGCUCAUGCACGACAGCGUGGGGAUCAAACAGG